This 433-nucleotide ribosomal RNA is filed under the name uncultured bacterium. RNAcentral describes it as "partial 16S ribosomal RNA". It matches the Rfam family "Bacterial small subunit ribosomal RNA", at positions 29 to 507 of the family's 1533-position model. The record is from RNAcentral.
AGCGAACGCUGGCGGCAGGCUUAACACAUGCAAGUCGAGCGGACCCUUCGGGGUCAGCGGCGGACGGGUGAGUAACGCGUGGGAACGUGCCUUCUGGUCUGGAAUAACCCUGGGAAACUAGGGCUAAUACCGGAUACGCCCUUUUGGGGAAAGGUUUACUGCCGGAAGAUCGGCCCGCGUCUGAUUAGCUAGUUGGUGGGGUAACGGCCUACCAAGGCGACGAUCAGUAGCUGGUCUGAGAGGAUGAUCAGCCACACUGGGACUGAGACACGGCCCAGACUCCUACGGGAGGCAGCAGUGGGGAAUAUUGGACAAUGGGCGCAAGCCUGAUCCAGCCAUGCCGCGUGAGUGAUGAAGGCCUUAGGGUUGUAAAGCUCUUUUAUCCGGGACGAUAAUGACGGUACCGGAGGAAUAAGCCCCGGCUAACUUCGUG